This 416-nucleotide ribosomal RNA is filed under the name uncultured eukaryote. RNAcentral describes it as "bacterial SSU rRNA". It matches the Rfam family "Eukaryotic small subunit ribosomal RNA", at positions 592 to 1016 of the family's 1831-position model. The record is from RNAcentral.
CAAUAGCGUAUAUUAAAGUUGUUGCAGUUAAAAGCUCGUAGUUGGAUUUCGGAGUGGGCCAGUUGGUCCGCCGCAAGGUGUGUUACUGACUGGUUUGCUCUUCUUCGCAAAGACUGCGUGUGCUCUUGAGUGAGUGUGCGUAGAAUUUACGACGUUUACUUUGAAAAAUUAGAGUGUUCAAAGCAGGCUAUUGCUUGAAUACAUGAGCAUGGAAUAAUGGAAUAGGACUUUGGUCCCAUUUUGUUGGUUUCUAGGGCCGAAGUAAUGAUUAAUAGGGACAGUUGGGGGCAUUAGUAUUUAAUUGUCAGAGGUGAAAUUCUUGGAUUUAUGAAAGACUAACUACUGCGAAAGCAUUUGCCAAGGAUGUUUUCAUUAAUCAAGAACGAAAGUUAGGGGAUCGAAGACGAUCAGAUACC